AGUGAACGCUGGCGGUAUGCCUAACACAUGCAAGUCGAACGGCAGCACAGUAAGAGCUUGCUCUUACGGGUGGCGAGUGGCGGACGGGUGAGGAAUACAUCGGAAUCUACCUUUUCGUGGGGGAUAACGUAGGGAAACUUACGCUAAUACCGCAUACGACCUACGGGUGAAAGCAGGGGAUCUUCGGACCUUUCGCGAUUGAAUGAGCCGAUGUCGGAUUAGCUAGUUGGCGGGGUAAAGGCCCACCAAGGCGACGAUCCGUAGCGGGUCUGAGAGGAUGAUCAGCCACACUGGAACUGAGACACGGUCCAGACUCCUACGGGAGGCAGCAGUGGGGAAUAUUGGACAAUGGGCGCAAGCCUGAUCCAGCCAUACCGCGUGAGUGAAGAAGGCCUUCGGGUUGUAAAGCCCUUUUGUUGGGAAAGAAAAGCAGCAGGUUAAUACCCCGCUGUUCUGACGGUACCCAAAGAAUAAGCACCGGCUAACUUCGUG
Molecule: ribosomal RNA, 492 nt
Filed under: uncultured bacterium
Lineage: Bacteria
Description: partial 16S ribosomal RNA
Rfam family: Bacterial small subunit ribosomal RNA
Source: RNAcentral